Long non-coding RNA from Felis catus (domestic cat), 2070 nucleotides. RefSeq lists it as uncharacterized. Lineage: Eukaryota; Metazoa; Chordata; Mammalia; Carnivora; Felidae. The record is from RefSeq and is a predicted model, not a curated record. The transcript has 6 exons.
GACCGAAGUUGGAUGCUCAACCAGCUGAGCCACCCAGGCACCCCUCCCCGACAAAUCAUAUUUUUAAAGACCUCAAAGAGCAGUGGAAAACAGAGAAGGAAGAGCCCAUUCUGGGUGAGCUGGGAUCGUUGGUCAUUUUUUCCCUGGGUCAUUUGUGAAGUCUGGUCAUAGGCUAACGACUGGGCUUGGUUUACACUGAACUGUUGAGGCCACUCAGGCUAUUGUUACAGGCUAGAAUCUAGAUAUGAGGCUCUUUUACCCAUGGGAUAUUUGGUAAGUGCUGGGGUAGACUGGGGGCAGGAGAUAGGGGAGGGCCUGGCUGGGGCCUUGGCUGGAAAGGCAGGGUAAGAUCUGCAUUCUCUUACUGUUUAGAAGGCUGAGUCCCGCUAAAGGGAAGGGCCUGCAACAAACACAAGGCAGAUCUCAUUCUCAUGGUAAUUAAAAACAGGGGUGGACAGAGUCUGACUAAAGUGGCAACUCACUUCAACUCAGCUCCAUUCUGAUUGGGUUGAGGCAUCAUCCCUUUAAGCUAUGUUGCCUUCCAGAGGAUGGGUAAACCCUCCGGGGGAAAUAUAAUUAACUUGAACUUCUGUGAUUCUUUUAUACACAAUAUUUGGCAUAUAAUAGAACAUUCUAAGUCAUCGAAAAAGCAGGUUAUCGUAGACUGAACAUUGGCCUCCCCAAGAUAUGUCUGUCCUAAUUCCUGGAGCCUGUGAAUGUAGAGACUUUGCAGAUGUGUAAGGAUUUUAAGAUGGAGACAUUAUCCUGGUUUAUCCAGGGGGACCCAAUAAAAGCACAGGGGUCCUUAUAAGGAAGCAGGAGGGUCGUAGUCAGUAGAAGGAGGCAUUAAGAUAGAAGCAGCAAGUUGGAGUUAUGGGGAGACAGGAUCACAAGUCAAGGAAUGCAGGUCCCCCGAGAAGCUGGAAAAGACAAAGAACUGGAUGCUUCCUUGGAGCUUCCAGAAGCAACCAGCUCUGCCAAUACCUCGACUUUAGCCCCACGAGACUGAUUCUGGACCUCUGACCUCUGGAACUGUAAGAUAAUAAAUCAUCGUUGUCUUAGACCACUACAUUUGUGGUCAUUUAUUAUAGCAGCAAUAGGAAACUGAUACAGCAGGGCAAUGCACCUGAUCAUCAAGAGGGGAAAAGUGAGCCAACAAAAGUGGACCCACAUCUGAUCUGGAUGUCAAGGAUUUAAGAUAACUAUUUAAAUAUGUUAAAGAAAAUAGCGGGGGCAACGGACAAAAUGGUGACCAGAUGGGGAAUUUCAACAGAGAACUGGAAUCUGUAAAAGCCAAAGGAACAUUCCAGAAUGGACACAUGUAACAUCUGAAAUAAAGAAUUCCGAUGGGCUGAGCGGCAGAGUUGGACACAGCAGAGGCAAGAGGUCCACUGUCCACUCCUCUCUGAACCAGGAAGUUGGAUUUGCCGAUGGCCUGCAUCAGCGGCAGAUCAACGUGGAGGGAUAGAGAGCAGUUUCCAUAACCACCCCUUCCCUUUGCCCUUCCAGUGAUUCUCUGCAUCACCAGCUGUCCUACAAGUCAACUCAAUUCUGACUCUCUCUGCCUGGAGAUGACAUCGGAUCCCACGGGUUAAGGUGAAGUCCUACAAGACUGUCCCACUCUUCAGAUGCCAAUCAAAUAAUAACAAAAAGAAAUCUAGAAGAGCUUUCGGUAUUUGGAAACUAAGCAACGUGCUACUAAAAAAUUCACAAGUCAAAGAAAAAUCCACAAGGAAAAAUUUAAAAUAUUUUAAACUAAAAGAGAAUGAAAAUACAACAUACUUGCAGUUUUCCUUUCCACGGUUUCAGCUACUCGUGGUCAACUAUGGUCUGCAAGUGGAUGAUCCCCAUCAGAAGGUCAGCAGCAGCCUAACGCUAUGUCACAAUGUCAAUGUCGUUCACCCCCCCUUCAUCUCCUCACUUUCCUUAUUGGCGUAAAGAAAGGCUAUUCACAACUCAUCACCUGUGCUAGGUGUCUCUAGGUCCUGGCCGAAUGCUCGUGCUCUGUCCAAUAUCCUCUGUGUGAGCCGAUCCCUUUCUAAUUCAGGUUGGGGAAAAAAGACAAACUUA